RNAcentral lists this long non-coding RNA (37635 nucleotides) under Vitis vinifera (wine grape). Its description in RNAcentral is "long non-coding RNA (VVIN_LNC005103)". The stretch from base 7555 to 7634 matches the Rfam family "tRNA". Lineage: Eukaryota; Viridiplantae; Streptophyta; Magnoliopsida; Vitales; Vitaceae. The record is from RNAcentral.
UGGGUUUAACAACACAUUUUGGAGAAAACAAUGUCAUAUCCUCUUAACAAAUGAAACCUAUGUAGCAAUUUUCAACCAAUCUCUACUUCCACAUGGUAAAUUAGCCUUCAGACAUAUUAUUGUAAAAAGUGAAAUUCUAUUAGAUAGCUUGUUAUCUAUACAAGGAAAAUUAUAAAUAAAAAAAGAAAAAGCUUAUGCAUAAAAUAAUUGUGUGUUGCUUGCAUGCUGUGCAUGUGAGAACCUAGGCAUAAGAUUUGGGGCAGUCUAAUGUAAUCCGACUGAGUUAUCACUCUUAAAUAGAUAAGACUAGUAGGUGCAGUAAAACUUUUGUCUAACAGGAAAACAGAGAGGAUUUAUGGAAAGGUCGGAUUCUUUUAUCCCUAUCUUAUUUCUUUUUUCCUCAAACUCAGCUGCCCUUAUCACUUGAGAGGCUUGUAGUAGGCCUCCACAGAGCACAAGAACUGAAGUUGACAUGUUUAGGAGAUUGCCCUCCUAGGGAGCAGUUGGCCACUCAUACCUUAACAGCUUUAAAAUGGAUUUCAUUGGCUUAAAGAACACCUUUGUGGCUUCUGUAAGCUUACAUGUUGCCACUAUAGACAUGUAACAGAGAGAAAGUUGAUUUGGGCAGGGAGAUCUUAAACAUAGGCAAGUCUGCACAAGCCCUCACAAUUCGGCCUCCAUAUGCUCAUUGCCUUAGAAACCCAUUUGACACAUUGCACAAAGACAUGUUUUAUGGGUCAUGACAGAUGCAAUAAAAUUGGGCUUUCUUUCGCAGUAUUGAUGCCCUUGUCGUUUGUGUAUCAGCUUAAACCACCUAGAGGACAAACCCAAAGGGUAGGGUUGUUUCAAUCAAUUUUCUGUAUUGUGGUUCUUCUCAGAUGCUUCUUGGUUUCUAGUCCGACUGCUCAAAAGGGUCAUCAAUCCCCCCUCUCUCUCUCUCCGUGGUGUGGGGAAUUUGAAGAACAGGGGUAAUAUUAUAUAAGAAUAAUUUAUUAUUCCAACUGCUUAUUUCUUCACCCAAAAUAAACAAGAAAAAAUAAUCAAGAACUCAACAAAAAUUAUCAAUUAGGCAGGAACCCUAAUCAAUCAUGGCCCAAAAUUGGAACAAAGAAAUUGAAAUAGAUGACAAAAACUAAAAAAUUCUACACAAAUGUAAUGGUGAAAAAGAGAGAGGAAAAGAGGAGUAGUUACAUUUGAGUGAAGCACUGUACUGUUGAUAGCACAUAUUAUCAGCAAACCUCCCAACACUAGGAUAUGCCGGAGUUGAUUCUUUCGACUCCAUGUUUUUCUUUGUUUUCUUCUCUUUCCUUCUUCAAGCAAAAGAUGUUAUUGGGUUGUGUUGAUCCGAUCCAUGGGCUUUGGUUCUUGAUCCGGAUCCGAAUUUAUUGGCUCCGGUUCAUUUAGUUGGAAUUUCCUCUCUUUUUUUCUUUUUUUUUUUCUUUCUUUCUUUUUCAACACCAAAAAAAAAAAAAAAGAAUUAGAAAAACCUUUUCGAAUACACUUUUUGAGAACAAUUUUUUUUGUUUUAUAAACUAAAAGUUUGUUUCGAAAUAAAAAUAUUUUUAAUAUUUUAAAAUACAUUGUAAAAAUUAUUUUUAUUUCUAGUGUUUUACUUUUAAUUAUUUUAUAUGUUUGUAUAGUUAUUACUUAAAAUAACUUUCAAAAAACAUUUGAAAACAACUAAAAGAUAUUUUCUAAAAAUACGUUAAGCUUUGUUUGAUCGCUAUUUCAAAAACAGUUCUAAAAAACAGUUUUAGAGAAUAAUUUAUAAAACUUAUGAUGUUUUGUAAAAUAAAAAUAUAUUUAAAAAUAUGAAAUGUUUUUAACUUAUUUUUAAUAUUUUUAAAUAUGUUUUAAAAUAAUUUUUAUAUCCGAUCAUUUAUUUUUAAUUACUCUACAUGUAUAAUUAUUUUUUUAAACAAUCCUCAUAAAAACAAGUAAAAAAAACACAAAAUAAUUAAAAGAUAUUAUUUAAAAACACCAUAUUUUUUUAUUAAAAACAAAAAAUUGAAAAUAGUUUUUUAUUAUCAAAAAUAUUUUCUUGUUUUUUUGUUUUGAAGGAUCUCAAGAAUAGAAAUUUGUUUUAAAUAAUAGUUGUUAAGAAUAAAAAAGAAAAAAUAAUUUUUUGAUUGUAAAACAUGUUUUUCUAUUUAUUUAUUUUUAAUUAAACAAUGGUAUUCAAAAAAUGGUGUAAAUAAAAUGUAGUUUUACCUUUUUUAAUUGCUUAAUUUAAUUUAUAGUUCUCAUUGUUAGAAAUUUUUAUUUCUAUCCCUUAUCUUUUUUAGGUUUUAUCUCAUCCUUCUCUUCUUUUUUAUUUCAUAAUUCAUUGUUUUUAUUAAAUAAAAGCCCAUUGAAAUUAUGAAAUGUCUUAUCUUUUUCUUUCUUCCAAAUCCUCCCUUGUAAUAUGGAAUUUUUUUAAUUAAAUAUAUUAUUUUUUUUAAAUAAUUUUUUAAAUAUUUACAAAAAUACAAUAUUUUUAAACUUAUCUUUUGAAAAAAAAAUAGUCCUUUCAAAAAAAAUGAUUUUACAUUUAAAAUCCAUGGGAAAAAAAUAUUAGCAAACCAAUCUAGAAAAAUUGAAUCAAAUUGAAUUGAAUCGAUUUGGGUUUUUUUUUUUUUUAAUUUUAAACUUUAUUAGAUCAAUUUGAGAAAAAAAAAUCAAUUUUUUUAUUGGAUUUAUGAGUUAUCAACAUUUUAAAUAUACACAUAUUUUUAAUUCCUAAGGCAAUCUAGUAUAGACAUUAGUCUACUCACAAUAGUCUAUAACUCACCCACUUCCACACAUUAUUUUUUAAAAUUUUAUUUAUUCCACUUCCUUACAAUAUUUUUCUAAUUUUAUUUAUUUAUAUCCUUAAGCAUAUUGUGGAUAAUGUUGAUCUUUUGGCUUCUCUAGUAAAUCUUAGGAGAAAAUACAAUAGCCCAAGUUUGGCUUACGUCAAUUCAUUCCUUAGUUUGUAUUAGUUUGGAAUGAAUUUAGGAGAAAAAGGUAAUGUUAGAAGAAAAUACAAUAGCCCAACUUAGCAUUAUUCUAUAUAAGAAGUGUCUCCCUACAGUACCAAAUAGCUACUUAUAAAGAAGGGGACCAAUCAUAACAUGCUAUGUAUAUAAUUUAGUCCAAUUGCCUUUUUGACUAAAUAAUGGUUCUAAAUUCAUUCUUUUUCAUUUUUUUCAAAUAUCUUUUUACAUUAUUGUAAGAUAAAAAAUAAAAAGUUGGCUUAAAAAUAAAAUAAUUUAAAAAAUAUAAGAGCAAUGCAACCUAAAAUGACAAUAAUAUAUAAUUUUAUUGUAUUAUCACUAGUUUCCCAUUGUUUAGUUUUUGUUCAAGUGUUGUAAUACGCUUAACAAGGCAUUCUGGGUCUUCAUCUUGCUUAAAGAGUUCAAACCAUUAUCAAAACUUAACAUGUGUUUAACGCUUUCUUAAAUAUCUAUAAAACUCUUCUUGAUAGGUAAUUCUUAUUACUCUUGGGAGUUCACCAUCCUCCUUUUUUCUUAUUUUCUUCUAAAUAGAAGUCUUGUCUUAAGAUUUCUUUGUUAAUCUUAAGAUCUUAUUCUAUAAUAUUAAUCAUCUGUGAAUAUGUGGGGGACAUAUCUAAGAAUUCUUGUUGUGAUUCUUAGAUAGACUUUCUAUCUUUUUAAUAGAAAGGUCUUGCUAAGUUGGUGUGACUCCGACACUAGACAACUUAAUGUUCUUGGGAUUUGCAUAUUUGGAUCCUUCUUCCAAGUGUCUUACUAUCCACUCUAUUAAGCAUAUUUCCUAAGUUUGAUUUAAAGUUAGGAUUUUAGCAAAUCCAAAUUGUUGAAAAUGAUAAGUAUAAGACAACCUUUACAAUACCCUUUGGACAUUAUGAAUGGAAUGUAAUGCCUUUUUUACUUAAGAAUGCCCCUUUAGGAUUCCAAAACAUAAUGAAUUAAAUCUUUAAUUAAUUUCCAAAUAUCAUCAUUGUUUACAUUGAUGAUGUUUUGGUAUAACUUUUCAUUAAUUGAAGAACACUGGAAACAUCUUAAUAAAUUUAUUUGGAUUGUUAAGGAAAAUGGUAUAAGUUUAUCUGCCUCCAAGAUUAAUCUUUUCCACACUAAGAUAAGAUUCUUAGGUCAUCAUAUUUACCAUGGAACCAUAACUCCUAUUCAAAGGUCAAUCUAGUUCACUGAUAAGUUCCCAUAUGAGAUUUAAGGAUAAGAAACAAUUACAACGUUUCUUAGGAAGCCUUACAUUGUGUCAAAAUUCCUUAAUAAAUAAGUCAAUUAUGUGCCCCAUUAAGAAAAAAAACACUCAAAAAAGACCUCAUACCAUGGAAUAAGGAACACAUUAAGAUUGUCAAAAUUAUUAAGUAUAAAGUUAAACCUUUGUCAUGUUUAGCCUUAGCCAACCUUGAAGCCUUUAAGAUUAUUGAAAUAGAUGCUUCAGAAAUAGGUUAUGGUGGAAUCCUUAAGCAAAAAAAUGGUGAUAAGGAGAGAUUGGUUAGAUUCACUUCAGGAAUAUGAAAUCAAGCCCAACUCAAUUACAGUACCAUAAAAAAAUAGUUUUUAAGCAUUUUUUUAAUGUAUUUCAAAAUUUCAAGAUGAUUUUUUAAAUCAAAAUUUUUUGGUAAAAAUUGAUUACAAAUCAACCAAAUCGUUUUUGCAAAAAUAUAUUAAAAAUAUAGUUUCUAAGCAUAUUUGUGUAAGAUGACAAACUAUUUUAAGAUUAAUUACAAAUUGUCCGAACCACAUAUUUGUAAUCAAGAGAUAUGUAUCAAACAAUCCUUUCUUUUGGUUCAAAAUUUAAAAGAAGAAACAAUUUUUGGAACACCUUUCCUAAACACUAUAUACCCUAUUACUAAAGUAGAUAGUUAAGGUUUAAGAACAAAAAUCCUAGGACAUGAGGUUCUUUUUUGAGUUUGCUUAUCCUCAACAUAAAUGAGUUAAGAUCCACAACCAUUUGAAGAAAAAUCAAGAUCAAGGAAAAUCACAUUAACUCCCUAGUUCAAGAGGUGGGUUAUUAAAGAAUUGAAGGACAAUUAAAAGUGAAGAAAACUCAAGAUGUCUUAGAAAAAUUCAAGGAAAAACUAAUAAGAGAAGUAUGUUCAGAAAAUCCUAAUUCAUUCUGGCAUAGGAAUAAACAUGAGAUAGAACUACCUUAUGUUCCAAACUUUAGCGAGAAAAAUAUUUUGACUAAAGCAAUGUUAAUCCAAACGAAUCAAGAAUUGCUAACAUAUUGUAAAAGAGAGAUUCAAGAUCUUCUUGAUAAGAAAAUCUAAAUCUUGUUGGAGUUGUUCAACCUUCUAUGUUUAGAAACAAGCAGAACUAGAAAAGGGAACACCUAGGCUUGUAAUUAUAAGUCUUUUAAUGAUGCAUUAAGAUGGAUUAGGUAUCCUAUACCUAAUAAGAUUAACAAUAUUUUAAUAUGCUUUUCUAAGUGCCCAUAAUUGAAUUAUGAUAAUUUUUAUGUGAAAUUAUAUCCAUGCGACAGUUUGGUCGAGUGGUCUAAGGUGUUAAAUUUAGGUUUUGGUCCAAAAGGAUGUGAUUGCAAAUCCCACAGUUGUAAUUUUGUUAAGGUUCAUAGGCAUUUAUUCCUUUAGGUCCAUUUAGUGCUUCUCUAUUUUUAUUUUUAUUUUUGUCCAACAAGGUAAAAAAGAAACUUGUUUAUGCUUUUCUAGGCGCUUAUAAUUGAAUUGUGUUAAUUUUUAUAUGAAAUUACAUUCACUUGACAAUUUGGCCGAGUAGUCUAAGGCGUCGAAAUUAGGCUUUAGUCCAAAAGGGCAGGGCAUGGGUUCAAAUCCCACAAUUGUCAUUAUGGUCAAUGAGUUUUUAGAUUCCUUUAGGUAUAUUCAAGGAAGAAAAUGUCGCGAUAUUUUGGCGAUAUAUCGCCGAAAUAUCGUGUAUCGAAGGGUUUCGACACGAUAUUUCAUGGAGAAAUAUCGGUCCGGCGAUAUUUCGGGAUUAAUCUCGAGAAAUCGGCAAUUUCUCGCGAUAUAUCAACGAUUUUGGCGAUAAAUCGAUGAUUUUUCCCGAUAUAUCGCAUGAUCAACACGAGUCAACGAAAGUCAAAUGCGCUACAGUGUCGUCAAUGCGCUACAAUGCUGCUACAGUGUCCUCCCAUUUGUUGCUGUCGAGAGGAUUUGAACCCACCCGCUUACCACCUAGGCUAACUUGCCCUUUGAUAUAUAAUAUGCAAUAAAUUUAUAUAUACUUAAACUCAUUAUAUAAAGAAAAUAUAAGAAUAUUUUAAAGAGAAAAUUAAUUAUAAUUAUUUUAUAAUUAAAUGCAAAGUAUUUUAAUUAAUUACCAAAAAUAUAAAAAUUAUAUAAUUUUCUUCAUAGUGUUUUUAAUAUCAUUAAUAAUUAAUUAAAUAUUAAAAAAUUAUAUAUAUAUCAUAAUUUAUUUUAUAUUGUUUAAUACAAUUGAAUUAAAUGGGUCAUAUUUUAAUACUAAUAUAUAUUUUAAAAUUAGACAUAUUAUAAUCAAAUAUCAUAAUAUUAGGUGUAAUUUAAUAAUAAAUGUACACUAAUAAAAUUCAUAUUUUUAUCGAUAUAUACGAUAUUAUUAUCAAAUAUGAUAAAUCAUGUUAUACAUAUAUCAAAAUUUUUAAUAAAAUAACUUUAAAAUGUUUAUUAUACUUCUAAUUAUAUUAUUAUGAGGUUUUCCUUACAUUUUCAUGAGUUUUUAACAAUUUUAAGCUUACCGAUAUUUUUUUCCAAAAUAUCUGCUGAUAUAUCUCCGAUAUAUCCGAUAUAUCCGUAAAAUCGAAGUACUGAUAUAUCCGUGAUUACCGAUAUUUUCAUCCUUGGGUAUAUUUAGUGUUUCCUUGUUUCUUCUCUCUUUCUCUUGGCCCAAUAAGGUCCAUGGCAAACAUUUCUUUCUCCAGUGUAAAACUAUAUUCAUUUGAUAGUUUGGUCGAGUGGUUUAAGGAGCAAGAUUUAACCUUUGGUCCAAAAAGGCAUGGAUUCAAAUCCUACAACUGGCAUUCUAUUGAGACCCAUGGGCUUUUAUCCUUUUAGGAGUAUUUCAUGUUUCUCUAUUUUUUUGGGUCUUGUAGUGUUUCCUUAUUUUUUUGGUCCAAUAAAGCCUAAGAGAAACUUGUUUUUGUUUUUUCUAAGUGUCCAUAAUUGUAUCAUGAUAAUUUUUAUGUGAAAUUACAUUCACUCGAUAGUUUGGCUAAGUAGUCUAAGGCACCAUAUUUAGGCUCUGGUCCAAAAGGGUGUGGUUUCAAAUUCCACAACUGUCAUUAUGGUUUAUAAGCUUUUGGAUUCCUUUAGGUCCAUUUAUUGUUUUUUUUUGCUCUUUCUUGGCCCAAUAAGGUUCAUGGCAAACACUUCUUUCUCCAAUAUGAACUGUAUUCGUCUGAUAGUUUGGGCGAGUGGUCUAAGGCACCAGAUUUAGGUUUUAGUCUGAAAGAGCAUGGGUUCAAAUCCCACAGUUGUUAUUCUAUUAAGGCCCAUGGGUUUUUAUUGAUUUAGAUUUAUUUAGUGUUUCUCUAUUUCUUUUAGUCCAACAAGGCCUAAGAGAAACUUGUUUUUGUUUUCCUAGGCACCCAUAAUUGAAUUAUGAUAAUUUUUAUGUGAAAUUACAUUCACUUAAUAGUUUAGCUAAGUGGUCUAAGGCACCAAAUUUAGGCUCUGGUAUGAAAGUGUGUGGGUUCAAAUCCCACAAUUGUCAUUAUGGUCCAUGGGCUUUUAGAUUCCUUUAGUUCUAUUUGGUGUUUCUUUUUUUCUUCUCUCUUUCUCUUGGCCCAAUAAAGUCAAAGCCAAACACUUCUUUCUCCAAUGUGAAAUUGUAUACAUCUGAUAGUUUGGCCAAGUGGUUUAAGGCAUGGUCCGAAAGGCCAUGGGUUCAAAUCCCAUGGUUGUCAUUAUUCUAUUGUGGCCCAUGGUCAUUUGGAUUUCUCUAGGCCAUUUAGUGUUUGUGUGUGUGUGUGUGUGUGUGUGUGUGUGUGUUUUUUGCCUAACAAGGCCCAUAAGAAACUUAUUUUUCCUCUCCUAGGCACCCAUAUUGAAUUAUUAAAAUUUUUAUGUGAAAUUUCAUUCAUUUAACAGUUUGGUCAAGUGGUCUAAGGUGCUAGAUUUAGACACUGGUCCGAAAAGGCACGGGUUCAAAUCCCAUUAAGGCUCAUAGGUUUUUAUUGAUUUAGCCUUAUUUAGUGUUUCUCUAUUUUUUUUAGUCCAACAAGGCCUAAGAGAAACUUGUUUAUGUUUUUCUUGACAUCUAUAAUUGAAUUAUGAUAAUUUUUAUGUGAUAUUAUAUUCACUCAAUAGUUUGGUCGAGUGGUCUAAGGUACCAAAUUUAGGUCUAGUCCGAAAGGGCAUAGGUUCAAAUCCCACAACUAUCAUUAUUCUAUUGUGGCCCAUGGGCAUUUGGAUUCCUUUAGGCCCAUUUAAUGUUUUUUUUUCUAUCCCAACAAGGCCCAUGAGAAACUUGUCUUUCAUUUCCUAGACACCCAUAGUGAAUGAUCAAAAUUUUUAUGUGAAAUUGCAUUCACUUGGUCGAGUGGUCUAAGGUGCCAGAUUUAGGCACUGGUUCGAAAAGGCAUGGGUUCAAAUCCCAUUAAGGCCCAUAGGUUUUUAUUGCUUUAGCCUUAUUUAGUGUUUCUCUAUUUUUUUAGUCAAACAAGGCCCAAGAGAAACUUGUUUAUGUUUUUCUUGACAUCUAUAAUUGAAUUAUGAUAAUUUUUAUGUGAUAUUAUAUUCACUCAAUAGUUUGGUCGAGUGGUCUAAGGUACCAAAUUUAGGUUUGGUCCGAAAGGGCAUAGGUUCAAAUCCCACAACUAUCAUUAUUCUAUUGUGGCCCAUGGGCAUUUGGAUUCCUUUAGGUCCAUUUAAUGUUUUUUUUUUCUAUCCCAACAAGGCCCAUGAGAAACUUGUCUUUCCUUUCCUAGACACCCAUAGUGAAUGAUCAAAAUUUUUAUGUGAAAUUGCAUUCAUUUAACAAUUUGCUCGAGUAGUCUAAGGCGCCAAAUUUAGGUUCUAGUCUGAAAAGGCAUUGGUUUAAAUCCCACAGCUGACAUCAUUUUAUUCUAAGCCUACGGGCUUUUGGAUUCCUUUAGUUUUUCUCAUUCUUUAACACAACAAGGCUUAUAGGAAACUUGUUUCUCAUUUUCUAAGCCCAAUGAGGCCUAUCGAAACUUCACAUUGAUUUUGAUUUUUUUUUUCAUAAAAGCUUAAUUAAGAGAAAUAUUUGAACUUUGAACUCAUUACAUGUUUUAAUGAUUCAAAAUAAAUUAUUAAAAAUAAAUUAAAGUAAUAAAUAAAGAUAAAUAUUUUUUUAAAAAAAAACAUUUAAGGAUCGUUUAUCUUAAUUAUUUGUCUUUUUUUCUCUAACAACAUCUUUACUUAAUAAUAAUGAAGAUAACUAUGUUAGUUCAUUUAGAAUUUUUUUUUAAAAUUUUAUUAAACUCACAUAGCUUUAAAAUUUAGUUUUGUUAGGUAAUAGGUCAACAAUACAUAUGAAGUGUACUGAAUCAUGCCAAAGCCUUAACAGCAUUCCAAACUUGUAUACAUGCUUAUGCUAUUUUAAGUAAUAAAAAUAAAUAAAUAACUUGACUUAAAGUUGUCAAUGAAGAAUCUGAGCCAACAAGAACUAUUGUUUUCUUGACUUUGAUGACUUUAUUUAGGUGGAGGACCUUAAAGCUAACUUGAGACAAGAUUAUCUUGAUCUUUUGUUAUGAGGGAUAAUCCCUUUAUAUUCAUCUCCAUUAUCUAGAAGAUAGUUGGUGGAGGAAUCUUCGGAUUCUUGACUACCACAAUCAUCUUCCAAGGCGGAUAUUAAUAUGCUUAACAAGAUUUUAACUAGAUGAUCAAGUAAUAAGGGUCUUAGAUAGUAAGUCCAUAGAGAAAAACAAGAAAGACUAUAGCUUCAUACAUUUUGGUAUAACUCAAGUAGCAGUUAAAUCUUUAACUAGAAUAGGCUUAAACACCUCAAUCGUCAUGUGUCUAGAGGAUAAUAGACAUCUUGAUUACCAAGAUUCUAUUAUUUGGGCAAUUCAAGCAGGAUUAAAUGAUGGUCCUAUUUACUUUUAAUGUUCUCCUAAUUUGACAAUAAGAUAAGAGAUGUUGACAUUAUAGAUUCAAUUGUCAUCCAUGUUAAGACCCAUAGAUUCAAGUUUAAGCAAGGAAACAAUAUAGUUUCCAUUAUAACAAGAUUUGUUUACAAGAGCAUGACUACUAGCGUAGGACUUGGAGCAUUAUGCACCAGUCCUUAGAGAGUGAUAGAUUCACUUCAUAAGUCCAACUUCAUCUUCCCAAAGAAAAUCAUCUGGAAUGAAAUUGAGUUUCUAGAAGCAUGGCAUUUCACUAAUAUUGUUCCAUUCAUAGAACAAAGAAUAGAAAAUUUUGAACAAAUAGUUUAAUAUCCAGACAAAGGAUGAGAUUUGGUGUCUCCAACUCUUUCAAACAUUCUAGGAAACCUAGAAUUUCAUGAUAUGAACCUUCUAAAGCAUCAUGCUCAUUUAUCCCAACAAGAACUACUAGGAUAGAAGAAGGAUCCACAUAUACAAAUCCUGAGAACAUUAAUUUGUCUAGUGUUAGGAGUCACACCAACUUAGCAAGACCUUUCUAUUCAAAAGAUAGAUAGUCUACCUAAGAAUCACCAAAUAUGUCCUCCACAUAUUCCCAAAUGAUUAAUGUUAUAGAACAAGAUUUUAAGAUUAACACUGAAAUCUUAAGACAAGACUUCUAUUCAAAAGAAAAUAAGGAAAAAGAGAAUGGUACUUUAGCAAGGUCCCAAGAGUAAUGAGAACUAUUUAUCGAAAAGAGAUUUAUGGAUAUUUAAAAAAACGUCAAAUGCAUGUUAAAUUUUGGCAAUGGUUUGAACCCUUUAAGUAAGAUGAAUACCCAAAAUGCCUUGUUAAGUGUAUUAUCAACACUUCAAUAAAAACUAAAUAAUGGAAAAUUAGUGAUAAUACUAUCAUAUAAUCCAUUCAUCCCCCAAAGCUAAGAUAGAUAAGAACAUCAAUGGAACAAUAAUAAGAGCAUCACCCUUUAAGACUAAGACUAAGGAUAAAGAAACUACUAGUGUAAUAGAUAUUUAGAAAAUUACGGAACAAAAUACUAUACUAAUGUGUUUCUUAAGACAUUAGGAGAUCAACUCAAUAGAGUUAAUUAAGGAGGUAAUUCAAAAUAAAAAAAAAAUAUUAAGACAACCUUUAUUAAGAAAGAUAAUAAGCCUUUAUUUAAGCCAUUUAAGUUCUUUAAGAAAUUUCAAGAAAAUCCAACAAUAGAUUAAGAUUUAGAGGGUGUUUGGUAAAACCUAAUACUUAUUACUUAAUAAUUUAAGUUAACUUUAAGUUAAAUUAUACUUAAGUUAUUGACUUAAAACUUAUUACUUAAUUUUUUACUUUAAUUAUUAAGGUUUUUUUAUAUAUAUAUAAAAGUAACUUAAAAUUUAUUUUAAAUCAUCAAAUUAACAUAUUUAUUUUCAUAAAUUAUAACUAGGGUAAAGGAGGUUAAGUAACGAUGGAGAUGUCGUGGAGUAGAAAAAGAGAUCAUUGAGGUAACUAAGGAAAAUGAGGAUAAAAUGGUAAAAUGAAGAUGUGGAUUUAAUAAUAAGUUAAUUAUUUUUACUUAUUACUUGAAGUUGUUUUUGACUUUAAGUCAUACUAUUAAGUUAUUUUACCAAGUAUACUUAAUUUACAUAAUGACUUAAAUGAAGUUAUUACGUCAUUUUAAAUUGUUAAAUUGAUUUGCCAAAUGCUCACUUAGUAAAAAGAAUAACUGAAAAAGUAAAAGAAAGUUUAAGUGUCCCAGAGACACCAUAAUCUUCUUAUGCAAGAAGAGUUAAUGUUAUUAGUGAGAGAAUUAGUUCAGAUACUAGAGUUGAUGAACUCAUUAAGAUAUUAAGGAAUCUCGAAACCAAGAAAUUUCAAGAAUUUUCCAUAACCAAGACACUUCCAAUACUAGGAAUUUUUAUCUUAGGCCAACAUUUCCUGAUAUGCAAUAUGGGGAAAGAAAUCAAUACACUCAAGCUUCUUAUACUAGUGGAACUAUUUAUGAAUAGAACAUAAAUGGUAUGACCGAGUAUAAUAUACUCACAAAACUGCAAGAAAUAACUAUGGUCAACACAACCUAUAAGUUAAACAAUAGAUUGUUAGAUCAUGUUGUUGCCCAAACACUCAUUGUUGGUUUUACAAGUUAGUUGAAUGGAUGGUGGGAUAACUAUCUCACGCAAGAAGAUAAGAAUGCUAUGUUAAAAGCCUAUAGGAUAAAUGAAGACAAUGAAAUAGUUAAGGAUGAAGAAGGGAAGAUAUAGAGAAUGCAAUGGCUACUGUAAUUUUUUUUCAUCUCUAAACACUUCAUAGGAGAUCCAUCCAAGAUUAAAGAUAAGACAAAAGAUCUAUUAAUCAACAUUAAGUGUCCAAAACUUCAAUAUUUUAGGUGGUAUAAGGAUAUGUUCCUAACCAAAGUCAUGUUAAGAUCAUAUUGUAACCGAUCCUUUUGGAAAGAAAAAUUCAUGUGAGUAUUACCAAAAAAAAAUUCAAAAAAUAUUAGGAUUAAGAUAAGAGAACAAUUUAAUGGACAAAUUCCGUAUGAUAAGUUAACAUAUGGAGAAAUCAUAAGUAUAAUAAUUGUCAAAGGAAUAAACUUGUGUAAUGACUUUAAACUUAAACAACAAAUGAAAUCUGAACAAAACAUUUAUCCCUCUAAUUAAGAGGUGUACUUCUAAGUGCAAUUCCCUAUUGUCCAAAAUACUAAGUCUUUUUAUGUAUCAACUCUAGCCAAGAAAAACUAGGGAACAAGUCACUACAAAUUUUAUAGUACCCCAAGUAUAGGCCUUUGGCUAAAUAAGGGUAUUAAUUUUAGUUGAUCUUAAGUUAUUCAAAAUGUACGAUCAAAAGAGAUCCAACUUGAACUCCAUAAGCUAGAGUUGUAUCAUAUCCUAGCAUUUAGUAUUUUAUUCUGUUAUAAAAUACCAAAUAGAUUAAUAAAUUUAAAAUUUGGGUUUACGUCUAAGAUUUAGGCUUUUAGCACUCUAUAUAGAUUUGCCUUAAGGUAGAUAAUAAUGAAAAAAACUCAAGUAACUAGAGAUCAAGAAUUACCAAAAACUUUUUGUAUCAAGGAAUGGGCAAUUGCACCAUUCCUAAAUUCAAACUAACAUUAGAGGGUAUUUUGAUUUUGAUGCUAAUGUUUUAACCUUUCAUUUAACCCACCAUUAGUUCCAAUUACACCCAUUGUUUCCCCUUGGCACUAACCCUAGUUUUCAUAUUUCAUAACCCAAGAUAGCUUUUUAGCCUCUUAUGGUUGUGCUUUCAUCCACAAAAAAUCAUAAAUGAAAAAUAAAAAACCAUUUUUGAAUUAAAAAAAAAAAAAUAGAAGCAAUACUUAGAUUAAUAAUAAGAAGAAGAAAAACCAACUAAGAUCCUUCUUGUCUCUUAAGAAAAUUCAAGAAUUCUCUAAGAAGUUCUGACAAAACCUAAAAUUUGAGUUUUUAAUAAUCAAGGUAAGAACUAACAUGUGCAUGCUCCUAUUGGGCACUUAUUCCUUAAGAAGUACCUAAAAAUAAUUUGAAAUAAUAAAAUUGCAAUUUUCAAUUAUCCAAACCCACUUAAGGUUGAUGGAGUGCAAAUUUCGAAAUAAAAGAGGCUUUGGAUCAAAAUAGUAGUGGCCUAAUUCAAAUUUAGCCAAUUUUCAAGUUGGAUUUUGAAUUGGGAAGUUGGUUUCCCCAAAUUGUUAGUAGAAGGAUUCAAAAUUUUGAGAAUUUUGAAUUGGUUUCAAAAUCACUAGUUCCAAUUUCAAUUCAGAAUUUCGAAUUCAAAAUCAACAUAUGUUUUUCUUAGUUGACUUCAAUCAACCACUCGUUUUAGCUUUGAUUUGCAAACCAUUUGAAGUAUUGGAUUCCUAACUUCCCAAGAUUUGAAAGAUAUAUAGCUUGCCUAAAAAUGAUCUUAGGAAGUGCUCUAGAAUUCACUUCAAAGUGAAGGAAUGUGUUGCUACCAUAUUUUAAAUUCAAAUUCCCAUGUUGAACUUCAAGUUAUGGCGUCCAACCUUCUUUCUUGUGUUUUUUUGCCCUCUAUAUCUCUCCAUAACUUUCAUUUGUCAUCUCUCAUGCUAUGCAUUGAUUCAUUUACAUUUGUUGAAGCUCUAAUCAUGCUUCACAACUCUUGGAGCUCCUUUUAAACAUACUUAGGCCAUUUUCUACCACAGUUGAAAGCAAUUCUUGCAACUUGUAUAGUUUUCAUACAUACUUUAAACUUGAAAUUUAGCUAAAGAUAUAUGUUAGUUCAAUGACGAAGGUUUUAAUAACAAUUUAAGUUAUGUUGGGUGAGUUGAACCUUUAUAUUGCAUAAUUCAUUCCAUAUAUGUGUCCUUAGAGCACACAUUUUUAGCUCCAAUCAACUAUAGUUUCAAUUAGAUUUGCUUUAAGUCUAUGAACCAAUUAUGAACUACUCAUCAACUAAUAAGAAUUUCAUGACUUAGAUUUUUUAUGCAAUUCCUAAUGCACCUAAGACGUCAUAUACAACUUAAGUGAUGUAGGUUUAAAUGUUCAAAUAAACCAUAAUACAAAAUUGCAAUAGUAAAGUGAAAUCGAAAACUCGCAUUGUUACAUCAUAUCAUACUUUUAAAAGAGCUGAACAAUUAAUUCCAAACGAGUCUCCUUUUGAUAUCGCACCUUCACUAGGUUAGAGUACACCUAUAGAGGAUGCUAUUCAACCCCCAACACAAACCAUACCCUCACUUGCUCAAAAUACUCCACCUUCAGAGGAUAAUAUUCCACCCUUAACAUAGACAAUUGUAGAUAUAGUAGGACCAUCCACACGACAAACAAUCGACCCUACAUUGAGCACAUUGUCAAUUCUAGCCAAGCUUGACAAUUUAUAAGAGUUAUCAUUUGGAGCCCAAAUAUAUGCUCUAAAGGCAAAUAAAUGAUAUGUUUUAUUAUUAUUAAAAGGGAAGACAAGUUAGUACACCAAUAAUUUUACAAUUAUUCUCAGCGAAUGAGAAUUUUGUUAUUGUUUGUUGACUAGAACUAAAACUAUAGAGUUAAAACCCUAAAUUGGAUUCAAAAAUUAAAUCUUAUUACAAAAAUAAAAUUUUUCUUAUUCUUGGUUAUUAAAGAUGAUUCCAAUUGUGAGUACCUUAUUGCUAAAAGGAUGGAGAUUACAAAUGUUUUUCAUAUUCAUAAUGAAGAAAAUGAGAAUAUUGACCUUAUGUUGUUCAACCCUUCUAUUGCAUCAAGCUUGAAAUGAUAAAAUCAAUUGCAAAAUUUCAAAGAACCUAUAGAAAAGUUGUUGUUAUCACGUGAAACUUAUGGAUCCAUAUAUGGGAAUUAUAGAAAAAACUAUCUUUAAAUUUUAAAACUUGUAAGAUUAUUUGAUAAUUUUUCAAUUCAAAAUGAAGCUUAAUGUCCCCCAUCUAAAUGAAAAUUUGGAUUCACUAGGUCACUUCAACUUUAAGCUAAAAUUUUGACAGAUAAAAAAUGGAACAUAUUAUGCUUGAGGAUGACUGAUUAGAGGUUGUAGGGCUAUGUUAGCUUUCAAAAAAUUCGAGGGAAAGAAAAUAAAGAAAAAAAUAUAAAUUUUUUUUUAAAUCAAUAAAUUAUUUUUAGAUAUUACUUCAAAUUCAUUUCACUUACUUUAAUAUUUUUAUUUAAAAACUAAAUAAAUUUAAAAUGAAUAAAUUUCUAAUUAAUUUUAAUCUUUUUUUUUUUUUUUUCAUAAUUUUCAUAAAGAAAACCAAACAUAUAAAACAUAAUUUCUUUAAGAUAAUUUUUUUCUUUUUUCGGUUUUUUUUUUUUAAAUUAAACAUAACAUAAAGCGUUCAUAAAAAAUGUAACAAGUGAACAACUAGGUAAUAGUUUAAUAAAUAUUGCAAAAUAUAUGACUUUAAGACACGCCCUAAGCUAGCUACAAAAAUUAAUGGAUUCGGUAAUGUAGGUAUUGAAGGUAGGUCUAAAAUCAUGAUGCAUUGUUGUAAUAAAAAAUAAAAAUAAAAUGUUUCAAUUUAAUUUAUUAAAAUGUUAAUGGAGGAUAUUAAGAACUUAAGCCAAAUAUCAAUAAAUAUCACCAUAUUUAUAGGAAAAUUAAAAAUAAAAUCACAAAUGGUGAGUCAAGACAAGAAUUGCAAUCCACAAAUCUUUUGUAUUUGAAUUUCCAAGAGUUUUCUCUCAUAAUUUCUAUUUAUAUACAACAAAAACUAUAUUAUAAAAAAUAUGAGUGACUCAAAACGUCAAUAUAAAAUUUCAUUUUCUCUUCUCUUAAAAAAUAAAUAAUGUAAAACACUUAAAUUAAUUAUUCUAAGACAUGCUAUUAGAAUUUUAAUUUUUCAAUCUUAUCCAUACUUUUUCAAAAUUCUCUAAAUUAUUUUUUCUCUCUUCAUAAACAAUAAAUAAACAAAUAAAAAUUAAUGAUACUAAACAUGCUCUAACAUUGUUUCAAGACCAUUAUUAAACAAUCUUAAUAUUAAAAAAAAUAAAAACUUUAAUCUUAUAAUUUUAUGCAUUUGAUUCAAAUUGAAGUCAACCCUUCUUUUGUCAAUUGCAAAAUUAUGAACUUACACGUGAAAAGGAAAGUGGAUUGCAUGAUUGAAUGGCCACAUUUGCACUAAAAUAUUGAAAUAUUUGUGUUUUUUUUUUUAAAAAAAAAUUAGGUGUUUAAUAAAAAUUUUAAAAUCUAAAAAAUUAUUUAUAAUAUUUAAAAAAAAUAUUUUUAUUAAAAAUAUUUUGAAUAGAAAUAAUGUGAAAGGAAGUCUAAAUAAUUGAUGUUAUGAGUAGACCUUCAAAUUUAAUUGUUUUAUUAUGGAGUUUCAUUUAUUUAUAUUUUUAUAAUUUUUACUUAUUUAUAAUAGAAUGUAAAUUUUAAUUUUUAAAUAUUAAAUAAAAUCUCCACAAAACUUGAGAAAAUUUAGGAAGCCCAAAGGUGACUCGUAUUCAAAACAACCCUUCAGUUAUAAUUAUUGUUUGAAAACGCAAUGUCACACACAUCACCUGGGGCCUGGUUGCCUCUCUUUCCUCCUUUUGCCUCUCUGACAGCUCAAAAUAAAGUCACUACAGAUCUUUUUCGCCUAGAAAAACUCAUAGAAAAUUUCCAACUUUUCUCUCUCUCUCUCUACAAUUUAAGCUGGGAAUCUGUGAUGGAGUGAUGGAGAGAAUGAGAGUUCCCUGAAAAGGGGUUGUUGUGGGAGCUAAAUUGCCAUAAACUACAGGGAAAGAAAACAAAUUUGUGAGGAGGAAAAUCAAGUUUGAGAGAGAGAGAGUUGUUGGUGGGAGUGAUCAAAUGAGUACAGUACCAAGCAGGUUCAUUAAGUGCGUGACAGUUGGAGAUGGAGCUGUUGGGAAGACUUGCCUUCUCAUCUCCUACACUAGCAACACCUUCCCAACUGUAAUUCACAACUUUCUUCCAUUCUCUUUUUGUUAUUGCCUUUGAUUUCUCAAUUCUCAUGGGUUUUGCUUUGUGGGUUGUUGUUUUUUCUUUCCAACUUUAAUUCGCAACUUUCCUUCAUUUUCUUUUUCUUUUUCUGUCAAGUGCAUUUGAUUUCUGAAUUCUCAUGGGUUCCCAACUGUAGUUCUAUGAAAGUACAUUUCAUCUUGUGGGUUUUGCUUUGUGGGUUGGAGUUUUUGUUUUUCUUUCCAACUGUAAUUCACAACUUUCUUUCACUUUCUUUUUCUUUUUCUGUUUGAUUUCCUAGUUCUUACGAGUUUUGCUUUUUUGGGGUUGUUUUUUCUUGCCAGGACUAUGUUCCAACUGUUUUUGAUAAUUUCAGUGCCAAUGUUUUGGCUGAUGGGCAGACUAUUAAUCUGGGUCUCUGGGAUACUGCUGGUAAAUGCUCUAAUUUUCCUUUUUUAUCUUUGUUUGGUGGCUGAGAAAGAUAAGGAAAGCAAACCCAAUUAGUUGAUUUAGGCACACCGGAGUGGGUUUCUUGCAAAAUCAUAAAAUUUAGAAUUCAAAAUCUUAAUUUAUUUUCCUACAUUUUUCUCAGCAUCCAAACAGAGUGUUGGUAUCCAUCAUCCUCGUCAUUUUUCUUGUGUAUUACAUUAAUUAGAAUAUAAGACUUGAUCUUGGUUGCGGUCAGUUGUUUCAUGAUGAAAAGAAAUUUUUUUCCAAAGUUAUUUUUGGUUUCAUAAUGAGAUCUGUUGAAGUUUCUAAUUUCUUCUUCUCUGACAAAAGAAAAGGGUCCUUGCCUGUGAAGUUCUGCCUUCAAAAUGGAAAAUUUUCAAAUUUUCGUUUCUUCCCCUCCCAAUUCUCAGCAGCCAAACAAAGCAUAAAGGAUUUCUAAGCACCCUCAUAACUUCAGGGGAAUGAAACAUGUUAUGAAAGCCAAUUGAAAAAGGGAAAGCACAAAAGGAAAAAAGGAGGAGGGAUCAACUGAACAAGCCCCAUAUACUUGUUUGACUGGAUUCUUUUACUUUAAAGUAUUUCCCGUUGUUGAAUAUCAGAAUUGAGAAAUGCAUCAUUUAUAUCUGGAUGUCCACGAAAAAACCGAGUGAUCCCGUCUUCGGCAACAAUUUGAUAGCACAAAAUUCAUCCAAGAAAAGAGAGAAAGGAAUAGGGAAAAAAGAAGAGAGAAAAUGUCAUUACAUGACAACAUAUGGUUGUGCUAUUCAUAUGAUGAAGAGGCUAGAAAAUUCCUCAGUAAAGAACAAAGGCAAAUAUGUUUCCAUGGAAUUUCCUAACACCCUAUAUUAAUCUUUUGCUUUUCUUUCAAAAAGAAAUAAUUAGUUGAUAUCUAGUGAUCCGUUUAAUGUUGAAAAAGCGGCCAAUAAAAGGUAAAAGAUGAGCGAAAUUUCUGAUAUUUUGAACAAUGUAUGCAGGUCAAGAAGACUAUAACAGGCUAAGGCCUUUGAGUUAUAGAGGAGCUGAUGUUUUCCUCCUUGCCUUCUCUCUUAUAAGUAGGCCUAGCUUUGAAAACAUAUCGAAAAAAGUAAUAUUUCUUUCUCUCUUCUUUUGCUGUCCAAUUCUCUUUACAUGUUCUCUUUUCUGAUUCCCUUUUUAUGUCGUGUUUCCUUUGCUUUCUGCCCUUUCUUAUGCUGGAGAAGUGGGUACCAGAGCUGAGACAUUAUGCCCCAUCAGUGCCCAUUGUUCUCGUGGGGACCAAACUAGGUGAACAAUUAUUCAUCCUCAAUAACUCCUCAUUUUUGUUCAUUGGUAUUGCCAAAACUAUGUUGUUUCUUCUCGAUGAAGCUUCCCAAUACGGUCCGAGUUAUUGAGGGUAUUUUGCUGAAAAUACUAAAUUUGAUAGAGUGACAAAGUUCCCAUCCCAUCCCCCCCACCCCCCUUUUUUUUUGUGAGGCUUGUUUCCAUGUAUACAUAUGCAUAGAGCAUAGGGGCCCGAGUGAUGACUCGUGAAGAUUUAAAGGAGGGCAAGAUUGGAGCUCUCUCCAUGUUGUUUUGUACGUAAUAGAGUUUCAUUUGGAUGGCAGAUUUGAGAGAAGAUAAGCAGUUCCACAUGGAUUAUCCAGGGGCGUGUACCAUUUCAACAGAACAGGUGCACAUCCAAUUUCGCUAUUUCUUCAUUUCCGCAAGCAUCAGUGACUUUUAUUCUUAUCAUUACCAUUAUCAUUUGUGGAACUAUGAUAUUUGGGCAAAAUAAUGGGUAGAAUUUUCCACCACUACCACAAAACAUGUUACUAUAUGUGUCACCUUUGGAAAGUUAAAAAGUUCCAAUCCAAACAGAACUUGGAAAAAACUUGUGCAGUGAAACUAUCAUCGACUGAUUGACAACAAGGUAAAGGAAAAGAAAAUUUGGAAUCUUUCAACUACUUGGGGUUGCCUCAGUUUCUAAAAAGGUUCCAAAUUUUCUUUUCCUUGUCAACUUUUUCUUUACAACCAUAGGGAGAAACAAAAGGAAGUGGAAACAAAUCAGUGAAUCACAAUCAACUAGGAAUUAAUACAUGGCUUGACAUAGCAUAUCCAAUGUGCCGAAUCUCUCAUCUUCAAUUAAGCUGUCAAACAAAAAGCCUUGUAUUUUUAUGAAACUUAUCAUCCAGCAAAGGACAACAAAGAAUAUAUAUCCCUUUUCACUUGCUUGUCCCAUCUGUGUGUGAAUGGGAAAAAGAUAUUCUCUCCUUUUCUUUUUCAUGAGACGACAACCUUGCAUGGAGUCAUAGGUACUCCCAUGAACAAUAUAUCUUGAAAAAGCACGCAUAGGUUCAAAGUGUAGCCAAUUUGGAGAUUCCUAACUUUGUUUUUUUCCUCGGAAUUUUGAAAUUGCCAGGGUGAAGAACUAAAGAAGCAAAUAGGAGCAUUGGCAUACAUAGAGUGCAGCUCCAAAACACAGCAGGUUCAUUUUAUAUUGAGCGUAUUUCUUAAACUAGAAGUUCUAAAAUUGAGUUUUCUAUUAGCUAUGAUUCAGCUUUCUGAUUGCUCGAGGUGGUGUGUCCAUAGAAAAUGAAAGUUGGGACCAACUGAUUAGUGCAUUCUAUUUGGAUAUAUUCGAAGCAACUUCAAGGAAAAACCACUUUUAAUGGCCUUGAAAGUUCUCCUUGUGAUGCUUUUGAGGAAAAGAUAAGAUAAAAGUGACCCUUUUGGAGGCAUUACUCAGUUUCUUUUGGGAAUUAUUUCAGUACUGUUAAAAAAAUGGUCCCCUUUCAAUCUAUUCUCUUCUCUUUUCUUUCCUUCUCCUCGGUCCUUCCAAGAUCCAAACAUAUGUGAAAAACGAAAGCUUAAUACAAGAUGUUUACUUAGAAGCUAUGGUUUCUUUUGUAGUUAUUUCCCAACUUAACCUUUUGCCUGGAAAUUGCUCUAAAAGCAAUUCCCUGAAAAUCAGUCUUGUCACCUUGACUCUUAUUUUUUCAUCAAAGAUACUUGAAUUGGGUAAAUAUAUCUAUGAAGUUCUCAUGGCCAUUAGAGGGCCAUUGAUCAAAGCCGGUUCUGAAUGCAGACGUUAAUAUGAGUUUACUUUGCUGUUGAAAUGCAGAACGUGAAGGCAGUGUUUGAUGCUGCAAUCAAGGUGGUUCUGCAGCCUCCGAAGCUCAGUAAACGAAAGCGAAAAAAGAGGGCAUGCCAUGUUCUUUAACAGGUGGUGCUGCUGCUGCUGAUGUUCUGUUGAUUGAUGACAAUGACUAGGGCCUCACAGUUCCAUGAUCAGAUCUUCUGUCGAUUUGUGUGUUUGUGAAUUUUCAUGAUUUUUUUUAUAUGAUCUCUAACAAGAUCGAUCCAUGUGGGAAUUGCAUCUUGUGAUCAUUUAUGUUUUGGAAAUUCCAAAAAAAAAAAAAAAAUGUUGUCAUUAGGCCAUCGCAUUGUUUUAGGCCUUUCUGAAUCAGAUUUGUGAAUGUAUUUAUUUAUUAAGGAAAUUGUAUUGCCUUUCAUGUUUUGUUAAGUGAAAAUGGUCUCAUGGAGACCUCCUCCUAAUUUCCUAUAUAUCUUUGUUAUGUAAAAAAAAAUAGUAAAAGUUUAAAUUUUUAGGCUACAUUUGGUUGGCAGGCAUUAGAUAGGAAAUAAAUAUCUUAUGAUAUCAUAUUUCAUUAGAUAGGAAAUAAAUAUCUAGAAUAUGAUUUUCAAUAGGAUAUGAUAUUUUUAGAUAUACAUAUCAUAUUAACAUGAUAUUAUAAGGUAGCAUAUCUAAUAAGAUAUGCUAUGUUAUAUUAUGUUUAUAUUUAAUUUGUGAAAUAAAAAAAAUAUAGAAUAUAUGUUAUUUUUAAUGUUUAAAAUAAAAAUUAUAUCAUAUUCCAACAUUUUCUAUUUUUUUAAAAAUGAAAAUUUUCUUAUAUUUAACAAUAUUCAUGUUUAAAAUAUUUAAACUUUAUAAAUAAAAAGUUUUAUAUUAUGUUUUUGAAAAUAUAAAAAUAAUUUAUAUAUCAAAUAUUAAUAUUAUUUUAUUUUAUAAAUAUUUUUUUAUUUUUUUAACCAUAAAUUUAAUUUAUAAUAAAAAUUUAAUUUUGCAAAAUGAGUAUAUAAAAAAAUAAAAAAUUGAUAAAAAAAAUAUAAUGAGAUAUGUAUAUCUCAUAUCUUAAUAUGAUAUUAUUAUAUUUCAAAUAUUAAAAAAAAUGAUAAUAUAUCUUACCACUUAUCCUAUUCCAUAUUUAUUGAACAUAAAAUAAAAUAAGAAAUAAAAUAACUUAUCUUAUUCCAUCAUGAGCUAAACCUGAAAUAAGAUAUAAUAUCUUAUUUCUUAUUAUAUCUCAUGUUAUAUUCGGUCAACUAAACAUGACUUUAGGGGAAUUGAAUGAAAUAUAUUGCAUUUUUACUUUAUUUUACGUUUGAGUAAAAUAUAUUAUAGGUACUUUCUUAAUUUAAACCUUGUACUUCACUAGUAUCUUAGUAUGAUAUUUGAAUCUUAUUUCAAAAAUAUUCUUAUCUUAACAAAAAUAAAUGUUAAUAAUUCUAAAUAAAUUUAGAAGGCUAGAAGAAACCUUAUGGGGUUUGUAUAAUCAAUUGUUUAACCUAGGUAAUAUUUUUCAAUAUUUCUCUAUUAAUAAAUUGUUGGAAUAUUAUUAAAAGUAGUUUCAAUUAAAUUAUAUUAAAACUAUUCAUCUCGAAAAUAUUAUUGGGAGAAUUAUCUUUUGGGGGACCCCCAAAUUAACAAAAGGUCUAUAUAACUCUUCAAAUUGAGUUGAAGGAUAUGAAAUAGUAACGGACAAAUAUACCCUUUAAGAACACAUAUAAAAUAUUUUAUAAAAUUAAGUUAAAUAAUUUUUUUUCAAUAUUUUUUUUUCAAAAAUACUAAAUUAAAUAAAAGUAGUUUUCAAAAAUAUUAAAUUAAAUAAUUUUUUUUUCAAAAAUAUUAAAUUAAAUAUUUUUUAAAAUAUUAAAUUAAAUAAUUUUAUUUUUUAAAAAUAUUAAAUUAAACAAAAGUAUUUUAAAAAAUAUUAAAUUACAUAAAAGUGUUUUUUAAAAAUAUUAAAUUAAAUCAAAAAUAUUAAAUUAAAUAAAAAUAUUUUUCAAAAAUACUAAUUUUUUUCUCAAAAUCAACAAAGGGCAUUUUUGAAAAUACUGAAGGAUGAUAUCCUUCAACUCAAUUUUCAUACUUUCAAUGAGUCUUGGGCUCAAUUUGAAGAGUUACAUGGACCUUUUGUUAAUUUGGGGGUCCAUCUACUCCCAAAACAUAAUUCUCCCAAUAUUGAAUCUAAGUUUCAGGUUGUUUAAAUUGCUAAUGUAACUUAAAUUGAACUUAGAUUGAAAAACCUUAACUCCCAAACUUUAGAAUAGAUUUAAGUUAGGCAACUAAAUUGCACCCUUAUCUAAGUUAACAUUAUUUUAUAUAAGCUAGGUGUUGGUUUAAGAGUCUAAAAUAAUUAAACAAAGUGACUUAACUUAAAACUAAACAAAUAAAAAACAAAACAAAUAAGAGAAGAGUCCUUAUGAAAUUGUUUAGUUGAGGCUUGACAAAGCACUAUCCUUAAAAGAGAUCUACCCUCCUGAAGGUAUCAACCUUGAUGCAGCAAGGAAUUGGCACCCUACCUUCUGGAUUCAAUAGCCAAAGAAACCUCACUUUAGAUGAACACAUGUAACAAGGAAAGUACACCUCCUAAGACUUAGAAAAUAAUUAAUCCAAAUAAGUAAUGGAUGAAAGGAUUGCAAUAUGAGAUGAUAGCAUGGUUUGAAAUAUCAUAUAUCGGUACUUAGAUUUUAUGGAUGUAUCAGAGAUGUUUUGGAUGUAUCAGAGAUGUUGAGGAAAUAUCAGUGGAUAUUUUAACAAAAAAAUCGAUAAGACAAAAAUUAUUCAAAAUUCAUAAAAAUAUUUAGAAAAACUCUAAAAAAAUAAUCAACUAAAUAAAAAUACAUAUUUUAAUGUUAUUUUCUAAGAGCCCGUUUGGCAGUGAUUUUUAAAAGUGUUUCUACCCUUAAAAACACUUUUAAGUGUUUUUGGGAUGAAAAUAAAGUGUUUGGCAAAUUUUAAAAAACACUUUUGAAAAUCUGGAAAAACACUUGAAGUGAUUUUUAGAGAAUCACUUGACAGGUGUUUUUUUUUAAAAAACACUUCAAUUUUUUUGAAAUAUUCCAAAAAUGCCCCCCAAUGAUUCCCGAUAUCUUUCUUCCCUUUCGUUCAUAUCUCUCUCCUUUAUUCUCCUCCUCCAUCGCUCUCCAUCUAAGACAGCACAGUAAACCUCUAUUUUCAUUCGAGAUCGUGGAUCGAAGGUAACCCUCUAUUGAUGUUUGAUUAUGACUCUAAUAUGUAAGAAUAUAAUUUCCCCCAAUUUUUUUGCUAUGAAAACACUUGUCUUCUUAUUUACUUUUAAUUAUAAUUUUUUUUUUUGGGAAACUAAUAGGUAAUCAUAUAUUGUUUUGCUUUGAACUUUAUCUUUUAUUCAAUGUUCUUUUUUAUUGAUUUAGAUAUUUUUUGUAAAUAUUUUUAAAAAUUUUAGUAUAUUGAUAAAAAAAAAUUAUUAUUUUUAAUUAGAAAAAUCUUUUUUUUUUUAGAAAUUAAUAGGUGGUCAUAUAUUGUUUUACUUUUAAAAUUAUCUUUUAUUCAAUGUUCUUUUUUUUUAUUUUAUUGAUUUAGAUGUUUUUUGUAAAUAUUUUUUAAAAUUUUAGUAUAGUGAUAAAAAAAUUAUUAUUUUUAAUUAGAAAAGUUUCAAUGUUAUUUUUUUAGUGAUUUAGAUGUUUUUUCAUUAAUAAAAAGUUUUUUUGUUUAUCAUACCAUUUUUUUAAUUAAAAUUGUAUGUCAUUUUUGGUAAUUUAUUAAUAUUAAAAGUGUUUUUAUAUUUAUACAAUAUAUUAUCAAAAACACUUUAGAAUCAUUUUUUCUGAUUAUCAUAAAAGUGUUUUUCAUAGAAACACUACAGCAGAAACCACUUCAAAUAAAAACACUUCCACUAGAAUCACUACCAAACGGGCUCUAAGUGUACUUGACAUAAGUAUGAUCAAAAAAGAAAAUAUCGAUAAGCAAUGAUAUAACAUAUUAGAACUUCAUUUUUUUUAUUUUACUAUUUUUUUAAUAAAUUUAUAUUUUUAAUAUUUUAAAAUAAAAAAUUCAAAAUUAAAAAGAUAAAUAUAAAAAAUUUAAAAGUGAAAUGAUAGUAAUUUUUUUAAAUAAGAUUAAUAAGAUAAAUGAUGAUAUAUUUAAUAUUAAAACUAUAACUUAUUUAAUUCAAAUUCAUUCAAUAAUAUAAAAUAAAUGAUGAUGCAUAUAUGCCUUUUUAAUAUUUAAUUAUCAUAUAAAUGAUACUAAAAAAAAAUACAAAAUUACAAUGAUGAUUUUUAUACAUUUAUUAAUUAAUUAAAUAAAAUAAUUAAAAUUAAUUUAUUUAUUUUUUAAUAAUGAACUUUAACAAAUUUAUUAUAAUUAUAUAUUAACAAGUGAGAACAUGGCCCAGUGGCAACCUGGCUUUUUGAACCCAAGCCUUUUGGCCUGGGUUCGGGCGCAGGCAGCAGAAGGCAGCAACGCAAACCCACAAAAUUUGAAAUUUAAAGGGGUGGGCAGCAGGCGGGGCAGCAGCUUGGCACGUUGGCUAUCAGUCAAUUGACCCAAAAAAUUGGGGAAAUUUCCCAAAAAAGUAGGCAAAAGAGCCGAUAAGUACCGAUAUAUCGGGAAAAUCACUGAUUUUUUUUUUAUUUUUAUUUUUUUAUGAUUUUUUGCCAGACCGAUUAUCAGUGGCUGAUUUCAUUUCGACCACCACCCGUAAUUUUUCAAACACUGGAUGGUAGUAGUAGAACUCUUUGUUGGGGUUAUCUAUUUUUGCACCCCCACUCCAUCCCAAAACUCUCAAUGGCUUUAGUCAAACUUUUUAAGUCUCCAAUCUUUCAUUACAGCAUUCAUCCUAUGAAACUAUCAUUUUUUUUCUCAUGUAAUUACAUACCAAAAUGAAAACAUCAAUUAUAUACACUAAGGUGGUGUUUGUUUUUUGGCUGAAUAGAAAAAGCCAAAAUAUUUGGCUUUUUCUAUUNNNNNNNNNNNNNNNNNNNNNNNNNNNNNNNNNNNNNNNNNNNNNNNNNNNNNNNNNNNNNNNNNNNNNNNNNNNNNNNNNNNNNNNNNNNNNNNNNNNNNNNNNNNNNNNNNNNNNNNNNNNNNNNNNNNNNNNNNNNNNNNNNNNNNNNNNNNNNNNNNNNNNNNNNNNNNNNNNNNNNNNNNNNNNNNNNNNNNNNNNNNNNNNNNNNNNNNNNNNNNNNNNNNNNNNNNNNNNAUNGAGCCAAAAAACAACACACCACCUAAGUUUCAUAUCAUUCAAAGCUAAUGAAGAUUUGCUCUCAUUUUAGUGCUUUUAGGAUAGAUAAUCACAAAACUUUUAUUAAUCAAAUAUGAAAUCUUCAUGAUUCAUAACACUUUUAUAUCACCAAGAUAGGUCUAUUUUUUUGGAUUUUUUUAGAGGAUUUUUGGGCAAAAUCCAUCAAAUGAGCUAACAUUUUAGUGUAAUUAUGGAUGAGUUUUGGGACAAUAAACUAUGAUAAAAUAUAUGCCCCAUCAAAGUAUUUAUGCCCUUUAAAUAUAGAAUUCAUAUUUAUGUGUUGUAUUUUAAAAAUUAAAAUUAAAAGGAUAAUGCCCUCCUAAAAAUAUUGAUAAUAAAAAAAUUAUUAGAAUUUUAAAAAUAAAAAUAAAAAUAUAUAACAGUCAAGUUUCUAUGAAAAAUCAUUUUACUUAUCAUCUAUUUGAUAAAACAUAAUAAAUAAUUUUCAAUGAUUCAAAAAAAAUUACCAAAUUUUACAAGAAAUUUUAAUUUAAAUUACAAAAUGUCUUCUUUAUCUACUUCUAGUUAGUUAAUUUUCUAUUAAAAAUAGCAUAAUUUCCUUCUUAAUUCACAUAUAUUUUAAAUAAAAUAUAUUUUAUUUGAAAGAGUUUUGAAAUUUUGUUUAACAAAUUUGUUUGAAAAUCUUUUCUUAAUGCUUUCGUGGGUGUAAGCUCUCAGAUCCGAAGGCUACUAGGCAUACCCUAAUGUUAAAUAUUUUGUCAUUUAGAAUCUUUAUCUAAUCAUGGAUACAAUUUACUAAGCUAUUUUUUUCUUAGAAGUUUGUUAUAACAUUUACAAACUUUUUGAAAUAUGAAAGUAUGAUCACAUUUAUUUAAUUCAAAAUCUUAUGUGAAACUAACUAAUUUUGAUUGAAGAAAACACCCAAGAAGAGGGUGAAUUAGGUUUUUCAAAACUUUUUCGAAAAUCUCGUUACAAACAAUGAUAUAGUAAGGAAAGUAAAAAGAUAAGAUAAUAUAGAAAGCAAACACGGAUUUUAUAGUGGUUCAACUAAUGUUGCUUAUGUCCACUCUGUUCAAACUCCUCCCAAGUGGGGGUUCCUUUAACUUAAAGCUUUAACCAAGCUUCCAAUCCUUUAUACUUGGAUUUUGACUCUAAUGGGCACUACAAGUUCUCUUCAAGUAUACCUCAACUUGAAACAGUUAACACUUAAACUCUUUCUUCAAUAAAUGUGAAUAAAAGAGCAUUCAACCUAACACAUUAAUGAAUAAGUACAAUGAAAGCUAGAUGAAAAACAAUGGUGCACUAGGAUGAUUUGCCAAUGAGGAUUCAAUGCACUAAAAGAGAAAAUGAGAACUUUUAAUGAGAAACAAGUAGGUGGGGAGUUAAUAGUAGAUGUUUUCUAUAUCAUAAAUGAAGUGGAGUUUUCAAUUUAUAGGUUUUCAACCUUGGGUGCCAAAAAGUGUUCCAAUAGGCGUCUUCGGGUCAAACUACGAUUUGAUCGAUUAAUUAGUCGUUGACCAUUUAUUGCACUGUAGGUGACUAUUGGAGUUCGUUCAGACCUCAAUCGAGAAAAUCUUUCUCUCAACUGGGAAAGGUCUCUCAUCGACUAGGAAUGCAAGGCUACUAGAUGAGAGAAUAUUACUUCCAUUCCUCAACCAAUCCUCGACUGAGAAAGGGAAAUUAGUUGAUCAAUUCCUUAAUCGAUUGAAUUAAUUGGUCUUGUCUUGGACCGGUUAGCUAAAUUAAAUAAGAGCUGAAACUUAUCAUUUUCAAUUCAUUUUUCUUCUAACACUUAAACAAGGUCUUUAGAUACCUUAGUAGGUCAAGUUUAAAUAAUUUUACCUAAUGUUCAUGUUAGGAUACUCAGGUUUUAAUAAAAUUUUAACUUUAAUAUGUAAACUAAGUAUGAAGUAAUGCAUGAUUUAAUAUAAAAAUCCUAGGUGCAUCCAAGUGUUCACCUUACAAAGAAUUCCUAGGCUUGAAUAGUCUUCAUGCACACUUAAACUUGCACUAUUUUGAUCUUUUGAUGAUUAUCUUAAUUUUCCAUUCAAAUUUCUUAAAUAAAACCUAAAAACUCAUCUUGAUUUUAAGGCAUUAGUAAACUAACCAUGAUUUAUCAUCAUCAAAAGGUGUUUAGGAGAACCCUUAAGCUAACAAUCUCUCCUUUUUUUUAUGAUGACAAACCUUAGUUAUCUAAGAAGAAAUAAAAUCUCCCUCUUAAACCAGGCAUAUACCAGAAUCAAGAAUUUAAAGCUCAAAGGAAUUUAACAAUUUGAUAGCCAAAGCUCAAAGCAAACUAGGAUGAUCAACCACAGGCAAAUAUAGAAAGUUUGUGCAUGAUCAUUCUAUAAAGAUGAGAAAAGCUAUAAUGAUAACCAUCAAUCAUCAAUCAAGGAAACAUGUCAAGGAGGAUGAACAAUUAGAUAUAUGUAUGAUAAUCCAUAAUGUGCACACACACACACACAUAUAUAUAUAUAGAUAUAAUAGCAUGGAUAUGAUCAAAUAUAAAAAAGAAAAAAUCUAAAAUACGUGAAUAAGUCAAGCAUGCCUAAAAGAUGUAUGUAAAAGUAGUUACUAUCCUCCAUGCAAAAGUAACUCUUUCUUCCGAGAUAUAUGCCUAUGAAAUAUCUCCUCCUUUAGCAACAUAAAAAAUGAACAAGGGGAUGCUCCGACUAAACCUCAAGGUUAUGAAAGAGGUGGAGGAAACAUAGAGUAGAAAUAAACCAUCAUCUCAACAUGCUAACCAUCAAAAUGUUGACAUGAUGUGAUCAAGGUGAUCAUAUAUUUGAUCUUAUUGAUUUGAGAUAGAAUCAAUCCAAGCAAACAGCUGGUCAUACUAAGCAGUAGUUCGCUCCUUAUAUUGAUCAAAACAAUGGUAAAAAUGCUCAUACUACAAGGUGAACCCAAUCUAGUACUGGUCCAUCAUUCCUCUACCAAGUAGAAUUGAAAAUCAUGAAUAAUGGCAAUCUCUCCCAUUCGUGCCCCUAAAGAGUUGAUUUGUACACCAAAGUCUAUCUAAGGGGCAUGUCGGGAGCAGGAAAUGCCUAAGGCUAAGGUAUCUCAAUGUAUGUAUGCUCAAUGUAUGAUGGCUCAGAGUGGGAUCCUUCAAUAUACAUGGUCUCUAUGCGCAUGGACUUAGAAAAUGCACCAUCGACAAAUAGCUCAACCUUUGUCUGAGUAGGAAAAGACUCUAUUUAAGGUGAAUGGAUCAUAUUCUUGGUGCCAACACCCUAAUCAUCUUGAGGUUCUUCUUCUCCCUCCAUUUUUCUAAUUUGAUUUUCCUUCUCAACCAUAGGAGGAACAAGUGUAGUUUUUUUUUUUCCAUCUUCCUAACCCAAGAACAAUUUAGAGUUUUCUCAAAUUUCAUCUAUUCGAUAGAAAAUGUAUUGUAAGUGUCAUAGAUACUCAAGACAUCAAUGUCUCGCUCUCGGAAUAAAUCAAUGCCAACUUCCUUGAACACUUUUGAAAGAAAGUGUAAGGAAGAACAUGAGUGGUGUUCUCAUAGCAAGCAAUCAUAUGAUGCAUCAUAAGGUAGCCAAAAGGAUCCUAGUCAAUAUCGAAUCAAUUAGGAAUACCUCAAAGUAUGAUACCUCAUCCUUGUACCUUUCUUUUCGAAUGAUAAAUAGAAAAUCAUGUGAUAAAUCAUGUAGUCGAUGAUAGUUAGGCCAUUGACAAAUGGCUUGCCAAUUCGAUUGGCAUCGGGAAGUUCACAGAGGUGCUAAAAUACCUUUCCAACAACAAAAACUAGGAUAAUAGGCUAGGUUUUGAACUCGUAAACUCUCAAUCUUAUAACAAGAACACCAAGAAUGCAGCAAAUCACAUCAACACCUAGAUUAAUCUCCACAACUCUCAAUGUACAUGAAAUUGGUCCUCCAACAGAGAAUCUCAUCUUGGAAUAUAAUGUGUGGAGCAAUGUUGAGAAAAUCAACUCAGAAGAGUAACAGCUAGGAAUCCUCCCAUCCUCAUAAACAACUCUUGAAAGUCGAAAUAAUGUGGUUGAACAACAGCAAUGUCUCACUCGGUAUUCUUCAAUUGAAGUGAAGGUGCUCAUGUCAAAUAUGGCUUUCUGGCAAGCCUUUGGCUCGAAAGUCUCAAUGGGGCACUUGCCCUGUGCCCUAACAUCAACCAACUCUCCAUGUGGUGCAAUGGAGAAUAAAGAACAAAAUAAAGAGACUUGAGAAAGAAGCUUAAGUGGAGAGAGAAACAUCUAAAACCAAAACCUUAACCCUAAAAAAUUCUCCAAAACAAUGUCCAGAUAGCUCGAUCAAACAUGAAGCCUCUCAAAUCUUCUUCCAAAACCCUGAAUUGGCAAGACCCCUUGAAAAACUAGAGGGAACGAGGUAGAAAAAUGAGGUGUGGGGAGGCCUUUUAAGCUACCAAUCUCGACGAACUGAUCAACCAAUUCCAAUCGAUUGACCACUUUGGUCAAUGUGCUCACCAACUUAGGAUUUUUGAAAAAAAAAGAAAAAGAAAAUCUUCAUUUAUUCCUUCUGCCUAUCUAAGAAGGAAUCCCUAACUUUUUAUGUCUAAUGCCAUAAGAAUUUUGAUUUUUGGUCAAUAAUUGACCUUUCUUAUGUAUGCUUGGAAUGAUAUGAGAUGUGAUGUUGUGUAUAAGAUAGGUAAGUCAUAUAAGCACAUUAAAAAAAAUUAAAUUAAAUAAAAAUAACCCCUAAUUCUCUCCUCAUUAAAAAAAAAAAAAGUCUUUGCUUAGAGGUUAAGUAAAUAUAUCAACAAGUUGAUCUUUAGUGCCUUUAAAUUCAAGUGUUAUAUCAACUUUUUUCGCAUGGUCUCUAAGAAAGUGAUGUCUAAUUUCAAUGUGCUUAGUCCUAAAGUGUUGCAUGAGAUUCUUUGAGAUACUUAUAACACUUGUAUUAUCACAUUUUAUUCGAACCUAUUUAAAAGAUAAACCCAAAUCGCUAAUUGUUUGCUUUAUCCAAAGAAUUUGUGCUUGACAUAAAUUGGUCGAUACGUAUUCGGCUUCCAUCGUUGACAAAGCUACUGAUAGUUUUGCUUCUUACUAUGCCAUGAAAUAUGUAAGUGUCCUAAUAAAUGACAUAUGUCACCAAUGUUUUUUCUAUCUACUCUACAACUGGUAAAGUUGGCAUCCAAAAAUCCAAUUAAUUCAAAGUAGUCACUCUUAAGAUACCAUAGUCUAAGUCAAUUGUCCCUUUCAGAUGUCUAAAAUUUCUUUUGUCACACUUAAGUGCGAUUCUUUAGGACAAGAUUGAAAUCUAGCAACAAACAUACACUAAACAUAAUAUCGGGUUUACUAGCGAUUAAAUAAAGUAAAGAACCUAUCAUUCUUUUAUACAUAGUUGAGUCAAUGGACUGACUUUACUCAUCCUUGUCAAAUCUUGAUGGAUGAGCUCAUUAGAGUCCCAAUUGGUUUUGUUUCCUCCAUCUUGAACCUUUUAAGAAGAUCUCUAAUGUACUUGGCUUGGCUGAUGGAGAUGUACUCUUCCUUUAGUUGUUUGAUUUGAAGCCUAAGAAAGAAAUUGAACUCUCCCAUCAUGCUCAUAUUAGACUCACAAUGCAUACACUUGGCAAACUCUUCACAAAGAGAAACAUUAAUAGCACCAAAUAUAAUAUCAUCAACAUAAAUUUGAAUCAUAAACACAUCUUCUUAUUUGGUUUUAAUAAAGAGUUUUGUGUCAAUUUUACCCAUUUUAAAGUCAUUUUCUAAAAGAAAUUUGCUUAGCCUUUCAUACAUACUCUAGGUGCUUAUUUUAAACCAUAAAGCCUUUUUAAGUUUGAAAACAUGGUUAGGUAAGCUAAAACUUGCAAAACCGAGUGGUUGUUCAAUAUAGACUUCUUCCAUUAUAAAACCAUUUAAGAAAGCAUUUUUUUUUACAUCCAUUUGAUAUAAAAUAAAGUCUUUAAAGCAGGCAAAUUCAAGUAAUAUUCUAAUGACUUCUAACCUAUCCACAUGAGCAAAGGUUUCUUCAUAGUCUAUUCUUCAUUCUUGAUUAAACCCUUUGGCUACUAACUUAGCUUUGUUUCUAACAAUUAUUCCAUUUUGAUUCAUUUUAUUUAUAAAAAUUCAUUUAGUGUCCAUAACACUUUGAUUUAAAGGUCUAGGUACAAGUUCUCAUAUUUCAUUCUUUCAAAUUGAUUUAACUCUUUUUGCAUAGCAAUCAUCCAAUUUUUAUCUUCUAUGACAUCAUUUAUGUUCUUAGGCUCAAUUUGAGAAAUGAAAACUAAAUUAUUGCAAAUAUUUCUAAGAAAGAUCUAGUUCUUAUCCCACUAGAUAGAUUACUUGUGAUUUGAUCUUGAGGGUGGUUGAUGGCAAACUUUCACUCUCUUGGAAGGUCUUUACUUGAUUCACCUUGAACUUGUUGAGGAGAAAGAAAUGUGAAAGGUGAUCCUUCUUCCUUUGAAUCAACUUCCUUUUCUUUUUAUUGUCUUUCAUCUACAAUUUGCAAUCUUCCCAUGUAGUCCUUCAAACCUAAGUCAUCAUCAAGACUAUAUCUUCCUUGAAUAAAGUUGUUAGAUUUAUUAAAAAAAACAUGAAUGGAAUCGUCUAUUACCCAUGGUUCUUUUGUUGAAAACUCUAAAAGCUCUACUUGAAGUUGAGCAUCCAAGGAAAAUUCUAACAUCCAAUUUUGCAUCAAACUUUCCAAGAUUGUCUUUGGUGUUUAAAAUAAAGCAUUUACAUCUAAAGACUUUGAAAUAUCCAAUAUUGAGUUUCUUAUUUUUCCAAAGCUCAUAGGGAGUUUUCUUGAGGAUGAGCCUUAGUAAAAAUCCAUUUAAAACAUAACAAGAAAUGCUAACCAUUUAAGCCUAAAAGUAUUUUGGUAAAUUGUUUUCAUUUAGCAUUGUUCUUACCAUUUCUUGUAAAAUUAUAUUUUUUCUUUCAACUACCCCAUUUUGUUGAGGGGUUUUAGGAGCCAAAAAAAUUAUGGUCAAUUUCAUGCUCAUUGCAAUAAGUUUUAAAAUCAGUAUUUUCAAAUUCUCUCUCAUUUCUUAUACAAGUGAUUGCAAAUCCUUUUAAAUUUUGAAUCUCUUUGAAUAACUCAUCAAGAGCUUUAUUUUUAUUUUUAUUACUUAAAAAUAAGAUACAUGUAUAUCUAAAGAAGUCAUCUACAAUAACAUAAGUAUAAGAUUUUCCUCUAAGAUUUGGUGUCUUAGAGGGACCAAAUAGAUCCAUGUGCAAUAGUUCAAGUGGUCUAGUUGUGGAAAUGUUUUUUUUUUUUUUUUUGCUUUUAAAAGAUUUUUUUAUUAUUUACUUCCUUACUUGACAUGCUUCAUAAAAUUUGUUCUUUUGAAAAUUUAUAUUAGGAAUGUCUCUAACAAGUUCAGUUUUGUUGAGUUGUGAAAUGAAAUUCAUAUUAACAUGUUCUGACCUCCUAUGACAUAGCCAACUUUGAUCAUGUAUGCUUAAAAAACAUUUAUCAUAACCAUCAUAUUUGGAAAUAUUGAUUGUGUAAACAUUAUCACUUCUAUGGCUUGUGAAAAUGAUUUUACACUUUGAAUAUAUUUGAUAAUGUGAUGAGAUACUUCAAAAAUCACUUUAAAACCCUUGUCACAUAGUUAGCUAAUAUUCAAAAGAUUAUGUUUUAAAUCACCCACUAAUAACAUAUUUUCAAUAGGAGAUAAAGUGUUAUUAACAAUAUUUCCUCGUCUUAUAAUCCUUCUAUUAGGGUAGAACCCUUACAAGCAUGAUAUGAGAUAAUAAACUCUUAGAUUUUAUUAUUUUUUAAAUAAAGUUCUAGUUUACUUUUAUCCAUUCUUUUUCCAUGCAUUAUAUCUUAUAAGUGCUCUAACUUAUAUCUUUUGCAUUAUACGUGACUUGGGUGCAUUAAGAGUGACACGAAAGAUUAUAAAUAGAUGACUUAUUCACAACUAGUUCAUGGGUAAAGGUUGUAGUGUACCACAUCCUAAUUGGAGGGAUGGCUGGUAUUGGCUAUUGAGAUGUGUUUAUCAUGGUGAGUGCACUAGUGUGUAUGGUUACACAUUGGAUAGGACCCACAAUCAGUCAUGACUUAAUACUAUAAAGUAAAUAUAACCUCACCAAGCUACUUUAUUGUGUUAUCUCUUAACAUUGAGAGAAUAUUGAGUCUUCAUGUAAACUUGAAUUUGAACUUCUUUGAUCCUUUGAUGAUUAUCUUGAUUUUUCAUUCGAAUUUCUCAAAUAAAACCUGAGAACUCAUCUUGAUUUUAAGUCAUUAGUAAACUAACCAUGAUUUAUUAUUAUCAAAAUAUGCUUAAGAGAACGCUGAGGCUAGCAUAUUGUAAUUUAAAUAUUGUCCUUGUACACACAAAUUUUGUGAAGUCCUGUAAAAUUAGCAAAACUAUAGAAAAAUAAUGUGAACAAAAAUUUGUAUUAAAAUUAAUAAUUGUAGGGUACAAUCCCAGUGUUAAUAUUAUUUAUAAAAUAAUAUUUUUCCCUUUAAUUUGUUUUCCUUGAUCACAAAUUGAAAACAAACGACAAAAGUGUUUUCUUGAUUUUGAAAGUCAAUCAAAGGUCUAAAUUGACUUAUUCAUAAAUUACUUUGUUGAAAGGCGAAGAACACGUGUGUAGUUUUUUUUAUAAUUUAUCAAACUUGUAGGGAGAUUUUGUAAAGUUUUUUCUUCUUUGUAAAACUUCUUUUCCCAUGUAGAAUUGUUUUGUCAAUUCGAAGUCCCUUUCAUUGAAGGAAUUCACCAUUAUUUAUAUGUGAAACUAAAGAAUUAAAUUUGGAAUUCCCAAUAUUUAGUUGUUUAAUUCAAAGAAUUUGGUUCUUUGAUUUUGGUAAUUUGUCUCCUUUAUUAAGGAAAUUUUUUAACAAGAAAAUAUUUAUUUUUAAUUCUUUUUUUUUUUAAUUCAAUUGGAAGAUUUGAUUUUAUUUGUAAGAUUAAAUUUUGUAGCCUUCUAAUUUGUGAAUAAGAGAAUAUUUAUUUUAUUUUUAAAUUUUUUUUACUGCAAUUGGAAGAUUUGAUUUUAUUUGUAAGAUUGAAUUUUGUAGUCUUCCAAAUUUCGCCACAUGCCAUCUUUUGAAUAUAUGUCACAUGUCAAAUGUGUGUGACCCAUCACUUGUAGAGUCUAAAUUUUCUUAAAUUGGGAAGCUACAUCUUUGAAGACCAAUUUAAUAAUAAUUUAAUUUAGUGAAAAUUUUAAUGUAUACCCUUCUCUAAUAUUAAUUUAGUGAAAUAUUGGAGCUAGGGAAUUCUCUUAGGGAGGGCUAGGAGAAAAACCUUAUAUUAUAUAUAAGGUAAUUAAUGGUAAUUAUUAUUAUUAUUAUUAUUAUUAUUAAAAUUAAAUAAUUUUAAUAUUAAUUAUGAAAAUGUAUCAAAUUAAACAACCAUAGAACUAAGAAUAUUUAAAAAAAAAGUUUUAGAUUUUAUAUUAAAAAAAUUAUUAAGAACAUUUAAAGGAAAAUUUCAAAAGAAAUAAAAAAAAUGGAAAGAAAAAUCAUAAGAAAUUUUUAAUAAUUUUAAUCAUAUUGUAGCAAAAACCCUUAAAAUUAUUUUAAAGAAUUCAAUCAUUUUUAUUAUAAAUUUUGAUAUUUUUCAAAUGGAAGAGGUGUGCAUCUUAAGGUCCAUUAUCUAAUAAUUUGAUUUUAUUUAUUUAUAUCUUAAUCUCAUUCUUUGUACGUGCAUUCAAAGGCCUAAAUUUUUCUAUGUAUUUUCAAAAGCAAAGAUUAAGAUUUUUAUAGAUAUCAAAUAAAUACCUUAAUUCUUUUUAAAAUAAUUCAAUAUAAAAUAGUUGAAAGUAAAUUUUUUUACUUAAAAAUUAUGUUUCAUAUAGUAUGAUUUAGUUAAGUCCAAUAAGACAAAAUCAUAAAAAAAAAAAAGUAUAAAAAGAAAAAGAUUGAAUAAACAAAAAUAAAUAAAUACCAAUAUGAGAUUUUAUUUAUUUUCUAAUUUUAAUUCAAUCUUAAUAUUUUAUUAGUAAUUGGUGGUAAAUAAUUUUGGUAAUAAUAUUUAGUUGCCAUUAUUUUUUAUUUUUUAUUUAAAAAAUAAAUUAAAUUUAUAUUUCUAUGGGGCAAAUUGUCCAUUUUGGUUUUUAUUUGCCUAAAAAGUUUUAAUAUGUAAGGGAAUUUUUUGUUUUUUUUUUUUUGGGGGGGGGGGGGGGGGGGGGGGGGGGGGGGGGGGGGACAUCGGAAAAAGAAGUUUUUGAUUUUUCACGAAGCUUUUUUUUUUUUUNNNNNNNNNNNNNNNNNNNNNNNNNNNNNNNNNNNNNNNNNNNNNNNNNNNNNNNNNNNNNNNNNNNNNNNNNNNNNNNNNNNNNNNNNNNNNNNNNNNNGGGGGGGGGGGGGGGCGGAUAUUCGUAAUUAAAAUAUUUGAACUUUACAAAUAAUUUUUUUAUUUUUCAAUCAUAAAUUUAAUUUAUAACAUGUAUAUCUCAAAUCUUACCAUGAGAUUAACAUAACCCAUGUGAAAAGGAUCAAAAGAAGGGAGGUGGAUAUCCACUACUUAUUAUAUCUUAUAUUUGGUUAAACAUAAGAUAGAAUAGGUAAUAGGAUAACUUAUCAUUUCCCAUCACCAACCAAAUAUGGAAUGAGAUAUAAUAUCGUCUCUCUUAUCUUAUCCCAUGUUAUAUCCAAUUAAUCAAAUAUAACUAAAUGACAUGAAAAUUGUAUAAAAUGAAUUUAUAUUGUAUGAAUACGAUUGUAUCAUUUACCAUGUACUCUAUUUGUUUUUUUUCCUUGCUUUUAAUUCUUUAGUGGUUUCUUCAAAAUAUUUUUUAAAAGAAUGAUAAAAAUAAAUAAACUAUACCCGUAAAAUUUUGAUUUAAAAAGCUUAUUUCAAUAUCUAACUUCAAAUUAUUUUUCAAAAUAAAAUUUUAAAUUAAAAUAUUAAAAUUAUUAUUUUUAAAUGAUUUCAACAUGAUUUUUUUUAUUUCAAAUAAUAACAAUAUAUUGUAUGAAAAUCUAAAAUAUAUGCAAGAACUCUUAAAAAAAUUAUUAGUCCUCCCUUUUAAAAUAUUACAUUUUAAUGAAACUUUCAUUAAUUACUUGUAACAACAUUAGUAAAAUGUUAUAUUAUUAAUAGUAAAAACUAAAAAAUAAAAAAUAAAAAAUAAAAUAAAAAUGAAUUUAAAUUAUAGAAAAUAUUUAUUUUUACUUAAAUUUAACUUAUUCAAUUAUAAAAUAUAAAAAUUGAAUUAAAUUUAAAAAAUAAAAAGAUAUUCCUAAAAGUCUCUUAAUAUGUCUAAUAAAAUAAAACUAAAAAUAAAUUUAAAAUAUAGAAAAUAUUUCUUUUUACUUAAAAUUUAACUUAUUCAAUAACAAAUUAUAAAAAUUAAAUUAAAUUUAAAAAAUUGAAAGAUAUAACUAAAAGUCUAUUAAUACGUUUAUUACGUUUUCCUUUCUCAAUUUUUUUUAACGAAAAGAGAAAUGGAAAAAUAUUAAAAUAUUUUUCUAAAAAAAAAAGUUUUUAGAAAAAGAAAAUAUUUUUAGAAAAAAUAUUAAGAGAUGGAAGAAAUGUGACACUUCAAUAAAAGAGGAAAGGAGAAAGAGUGGAGAAAAACAAGAAAUAAUUAUUUAAAAGUCAAAUGAUGAAGACCCACAAACACAUUCACAUUGCAAACUAUAGGAUUUUGAUAGAUUAUUUACUUUAAUCGGUCCUAAAUCAUAAUUGUCCUUUUUCUUUUUCCUUUUUUUUUCUCCCUUUGUGGGGGAGGGUGGGGGUCAUGACUGUCCUACCCAAAUUAAUCACCUCUCUCUCUCUCUCUCUCCCCCUCUCU